Molecule: ribosomal RNA, 468 nt
Filed under: uncultured bacterium
Lineage: Bacteria
Description: partial 16S ribosomal RNA
Rfam family: Bacterial small subunit ribosomal RNA
Source: RNAcentral
GACGAACGCUGGCGGCGUGCUUAACACAUGCAAGUCGAACGGAAAGGCCCUGCUUUUGUGGGGUGCUCGAGUGGCGAACGGGUGAGUAACACGUGAGUAACCUGCCCUUGACUUUGGGAUAACUUCAGGAAACUGGGGCUAAUACCGGAUAGGAGCUCCUGCUGCAUGGUGGGGGUUGGAAAGUUUCGGCGGUUGGGGAUGGACUCGCGGCUUAUCAGCUUGUUGGUGGGGUAGUGGCUUACCAAGGCUUUGACGGGUAGCCGGCCUGAGAGGGUGACCGGCCACGUUGGGCCUGAGGUACGGCCCAGGCUCCUACGGGAGGCAGCAGGGGGGAGUAUUGCGCAAUGGGGGGGAGCCUGCUGCAGCACCGCCGCGUGCGGGAUGGCGGGCUUCGGGUUGUAAACCGCUUUCGCCUGUGACGAAGCGUGAGUGACGGUAAUGGGUAAAGAAGCACCGGCUAACUACGUG